RNAcentral lists this long non-coding RNA (433 nucleotides) under Cyanistes caeruleus (blue tit). RNAcentral's name for it is "lncRNA (ENSCCEG00000012861.1)". The record is from RNAcentral. Lineage: Eukaryota; Metazoa; Chordata; Aves; Passeriformes; Paridae.
CUGGUUUAUAUCUAAGUAAGAUGUUAUCUUGUGUGUAGUGUGAGCGCUGAUAACCUUCGGCACAGCUACCCUGGAGAACACUCAGACCUGAGUAAUUUGUAGGCUGCACCAGCUGAGUCACAGCCACAGCCUCACAGAGGAAGAGGACCCUGCUGACAAAAGUCACUAUUUUUGGGCCAAAAGGAUGGUGUUGCUGCACAGGACUCAUGAGAGGAUCUCGAUCUCCCCCUGAGCAUGCAGCACAGAGCAGGGAACGCUGCCUCUGGCAUCAGCAGGAGCUGAUAAAGUCAAGGAAAAAUUAUUCUAACAGGACAGGGUCCCUCACCAUGUCAAAAGCAUUGCUGGAAUUGUGAGGAAGCUUUCUGUGAUCAGAAGACCAAUGCCUGGUUUGACCAGAGAGAGAAUAUGAUUAUUCUCCUCCCACAGCACCGAG